UUGAAUUAGAGAAAUUAGGGU
RNAcentral lists this microRNA (21 nucleotides) under Populus x canadensis (hybrid black poplar). RNAcentral's name for it is "PC-5p-1150271_1". The record is from RNAcentral. Lineage: Eukaryota; Viridiplantae; Streptophyta; Magnoliopsida; Malpighiales; Salicaceae.